GACAGAGGGGGCCAGCGUUGUCCGGAUUGACUGGGCGUACAGCGCGCGCAGGCGGUUGGUGACGUGCCGUGUGACAGCUUGCUGCUCACCAGCAAGUGGUCACGGUAGACGCAUCGACUAGAGGGACCGAGAGGGAUGUGGAAUACCCGGUGGAGCGGUGAAUGCGUAGAGAUCGGGUGGAACACCAGGGGCGAAGGCGGCAUCCUGGCGGUCAACUGACGCUGAGGCGCGAGAGCGUGGGGAGCAAACGGG
This 252-nucleotide ribosomal RNA is filed under the name uncultured bacterium. RNAcentral's name for it is "partial 16S ribosomal RNA". It matches the Rfam family "Bacterial small subunit ribosomal RNA", at positions 524 to 776 of the family's 1533-position model. The record is from RNAcentral.